CUACGGGCGGCUCCAGUGAGGAAUAUUGCACAAUGGAGGAAACUCUGAUGCAGCCAUGCCGCGUGUGUGAAGAAGGCCCGAGGGUUGUAAAGCACUUUCAAUUGGGAGGAAGGUUAUGUAGCUAAUACCUGCAUAAUUUGACGUUACCUUUAGAAGAAGCACCGGCUAACUCUGUGCCAGCAGCCGCGGUAAUACAGAGGGUGCAAGCGUUGUUCGGAAUUACUGGGCGUAAAGCGCGCGUAGGCGGAUUGUUAAGUCAGAUGUGAAAGCCCUGGGCUCAACCUGGGAACGGCAUUUGAUACUGGCAGUCUAGAGUUUAAGAGAGGGAAGGGGAAUUUCUAGUGUAGCAGUGAAAUGCGUAGAUAUUAGAAGGAACAUCAGUGGCGAAGGCGCCUUCCUGGCUUAAAACUGACGCUGAGGUGCGAAAGCGUGGGUAGCGAACGGGAUUAGAUACCCUCGUAGUC
This 464-nucleotide ribosomal RNA is filed under the name uncultured bacterium. RNAcentral's name for it is "partial 16S ribosomal RNA". It matches the Rfam family "Bacterial small subunit ribosomal RNA", at positions 339 to 795 of the family's 1533-position model. The record is from RNAcentral.